Molecule: long non-coding RNA, 836 nt
Filed under: Anas platyrhynchos platyrhynchos (common mallard)
Lineage: Eukaryota; Metazoa; Chordata; Aves; Anseriformes; Anatidae
Description: lncRNA (ENSAPLG00000027855.1)
Source: RNAcentral
UGGGGCCAGCUGGAGGGAGAUUUGGGGAGCACAGCUGAAGUUAUUUCAGGAGGAGGAGAUGGUGGGAGAACAUGGAGCUGCCUGUUGGAGAGCAAGGAGGUGUGCUGCUGAAGGCAGAAGACUGCAAUGUCUGUGGGACCAAAUGGGGACACAACAGGCAGCAGAGACCUCCAGCCCAGUGCCAGAGGAGGAGAUGGAUCCAGGCUCUGAUGGUGAUAAGACACGUUCAAUGGCUUCUCAAACCCACCUGGAUUUUGGCUAUGAGGGCAGCUGCUGACUGAUGGGCUGCGUCAGCACAGCGCCUUUUGCUCCGGUGUAAUCUCCUUGAGGACUGAAUUAUGCCACCCCUAUUCCUUGGGGAGCAGAAGAUGGAUGUUCCCAGUUACCCAAAUUGUCCCUGCCUGUCCCAGGCCCAGGAGCUUUCUCUCCAUCUGUGCAGAGAGUUAAGGACUGCUUGGUGCCUCUUCACACGGAAAGAGACCCAGGCUCUGAUGGCUCCGUCCUGGUCUCUCUGCCAUCCCCCACCGUGCUGCACCAGCUCCAGGUGUGAGCACUGCUGGAGUCACUUUGGGCAUGCACAGGUGCUGCUGGUUUCCCCCACAAGCACCACCCUGUAUUUGCAGCUGCUGAAGCCCAGUGGCUGUGAGGCAGAAUCAGAUCCUGCAUCUCCACAGCCACUUUCCUGUUUCCUGCCUAAUUUCAUGUCACUCCCAAAAUCUGCCACCUCAGUGCUUCCCCUUCUCCACAGUUUUCAGGAACACGGAAACCUAUUUGGAGGGCUCUAUUCUGGACGGCUGUAUUGUCUCAAGGAAGAUAACACUUCACAGAAGCUAUAA